RNAcentral lists this transfer RNA (90 nucleotides) under Oligoflexales bacterium. Its description in RNAcentral is "tRNA-Ser". It matches the Rfam family "tRNA". Rfam says of the family: Transfer RNA (tRNA) molecules are approximately 80 nucleotides in length. The record is from RNAcentral. Lineage: Bacteria; Pseudomonadati; Bdellovibrionota; Oligoflexia; Oligoflexales.
GGAGAGAUGGGUGAGCGGCUGAAACCGCACGCUUGGAAAGCGUGUUAUGGGUAACACUAUACGAGGGUUCGAAUCCCUCUCUCUCCGCCA